AAACUUUCAACAACGGA
This 17-nucleotide ribosomal RNA is filed under the name Sclerotinia sclerotiorum. RNAcentral describes it as "partial 5.8S ribosomal RNA". The record is from RNAcentral. Lineage: Eukaryota; Fungi; Ascomycota; Leotiomycetes; Helotiales; Sclerotiniaceae. RNAcentral also lists the same sequence under 25 other names.